RNAcentral lists this ribosomal RNA (397 nucleotides) under Staphylococcus aureus. RNAcentral describes it as "partial 23S ribosomal RNA". It matches the Rfam family "Bacterial large subunit ribosomal RNA", at positions 1800 to 2196 of the family's 2925-position model. Lineage: Bacteria; Bacillati; Bacillota; Bacilli; Caryophanales; Staphylococcaceae. The record is from RNAcentral.
CUGUUUAUCAAAAACACAGGUCUCUGCUAAACCGUAAGGUGAUGUAUAGGGGCUGACGCCUGCCCGGUGCUGGAAGGUUAAGAGGAGUGGUUAGCUUCUGCGAAGCUACGAAUCGAAGCCCCAGUAAACGGCGGCCGUAACUAUAACGGUCCUAAGGUAGCGAAAUUCCUUGUCGGGUAAGUUCCGACCCGCACGAAAGGCGUAACGAUUUGGGCACUGUCUCAACGAGAGACUCGGUGAAAUCAUAGUACCUGUGAAGAUGCAGGUUACCCGCGACAGGACGGAAAGACCCCGUGGAGCUUUACUGUAGCCUGAUAUUGAAAUUCGGCACAGCUUGUACAGGAUAGGUAGGAGCCUUUGAAACGUGAGCGCUAGCUUACGUGGAGGCGCUGGUGGG